Molecule: non-coding RNA, 25 nt
Filed under: Mus musculus (house mouse)
Lineage: Eukaryota; Metazoa; Chordata; Mammalia; Rodentia; Muridae
Source: RNAcentral
UGUGUUGUCAAGCUGCUAGUAUGUG